CCAAUAGCGUAUAUUAAAGUUGCUGCAGUUAAAAAGCUCGUAGUUGAAUUUCGGGACUAAUAUGUCGGUCGUGCCUCGGUACGUACUGGUAUUUUUGGUUUCUCCCUUCUGACGAACCUUGAUGUCAUUAAUUUGGUGUAUUGGGGAAUCAGGACUGUUACUUUGAAAAACUUAGAGUGUUUAACGCAGGCUACCGCUUGAGUACAUAAGCAUGGAAUAAUGAAAUAGGGCGUUUGAUUCUAUUUUGUUGGUUUCUAGGAUCGACGUAAUGAUUAAUAGGGAUAGUUGGGGGCAUUAGUAUUCAAUUGUCAGAGGUGAAGUUCUUGGAUUUAUUGAAGACUAACUACUGCGAAAGCAUUUGCCAAGGAUGUUUUCAUUAAUCAAGAACGAAAGUUAGGGGAUCGAAGACGAUCAGAUACCGUCGUAGUCUUAACCAUAAACUAUGCCGACUAGGGCUCGGAUGAUGUUAAUUUUUUAAUGACUCAUUCGGCGCCUUACG
Molecule: ribosomal RNA, 499 nt
Filed under: uncultured Glomeromycotina
Lineage: Eukaryota; Fungi; Glomeromycota
Description: partial small subunit ribosomal RNA
Rfam family: Eukaryotic small subunit ribosomal RNA
Source: RNAcentral